Molecule: unclassified non-coding RNA, 279 nt
Filed under: plant metagenome
Description: partial contains small subunit ribosomal RNA, internal transcribed spacer 1, and 5.8S ribosomal RNA
Source: RNAcentral
UCUCCGUUGGUGAACCAGCGGAGGGAUCAUUACAGAGUUUUCACAACUCCCAACCCUUGCGAACCGUACCCAUUCUGUUCUCGUUGCUUCCGGCGGGGGGGACGGGGGGGCACAAAACGCCCUCCCCGCCCCGCCCGCCGGGGGCGUCUGGCCCCACGAACCUUUAUAUCUCAAACACCAGAAAACGUCUGACAAAACAAACAAAAUAAUCAAAACUUUCAACAACGGAACCAUUGCCUCUGGCAUCGCUGAAGAACGCAGCAGACCGGAAUAGCACAC